RNAcentral lists this long non-coding RNA (818 nucleotides) under Vombatus ursinus (common wombat). RNAcentral describes it as "lncRNA (ENSVURG00010004149.1)". Lineage: Eukaryota; Metazoa; Chordata; Mammalia; Diprotodontia; Vombatidae. The record is from RNAcentral.
GCUUUACCUCUGGUCUCCUGGUCCCGGCGUCUGGAACUGCAAGGAGAGCUGAUGGAGUUGGGAAGCCGGAAGGGCAGGUCCCUCUUCAAUUCUCGCCCCAGACUUACUCCCCUUUGCCUCCUGCUCUUCAGUGACCUACUGCUCAUCACUCAGCCUAAGAGGUGGGCAGGCCUUCUGGGUGAUGGUGGGGGAAGCAUGUGUGAAGGGUGGAGAGGAGGGCAUACCAGGCAACCUUCCUGAUGAUCUCUCUUCCGGGCAGUGGGCAAAGGUUGUAUGUUCUGGAUUAUGCCCACCGGUCCUUGGUUCAGGCCCAGCCAGNNNNNNNNNNGCCUCAUUCUAUAUCUCUCUCAUAUGCCCUCCAGAUUGCCCCCAGGCCCUGAGCAUAAAUUCUCAUGUAACUGCCAAGACAAAGGAUCUAAGCCUGGAACCUGGGGAUCUUGUCAACCAGUUUCACAAAAGUCCAGAGGCCUGGCUGAAGGGUAUCCAUGGGUCAUACGCUGCUCAGUUAGCAAAUGAGGUGACAGGUGAGCACACCCGACGGAAAAACCUGCAACAGCAAAAGCAGUUACUUCGAGAGGCUGGGAAGCAACUACAUACGACGCCCACACUCUCCCUCUCCGGGUGCUAGCAACAUCCUCUCGCACUAAGGUAGGUGCGUUGUGGACCCAGGCUUACAUCUCCCCCUGAGGACGCCAGUCUCGGAACAGCCGGCCAAUAAGGGACUGGCAUUCCUCUGAGCAGCCAAUGAAGACAGAGUCAUCUCAGACCCAACCAAUGAAAGUGAUAGUUCCCUGAAUUGUCAACCAAUGGGAGACAGA